CUGCAAGUAGCUGAGUUUCUAUGGCUACUUGACGCUCUUCCCUGCGGCCAGCUAGCAGGAAUGGGCAUGAAACUCGGGUGCCCCAUGCCAACAGAAACUAGGAGUCUUCUUGUCUGAAAGAGGCAAAGUGUAGUGCUGUGUCACUAAAGUUUGGGAAGAGGAGUAGCAGCUAGAGUCCAGAUGCAGGGAGACAAGCCCUUGCCGAGACACGGUUUCCACUAAGGUCAAGUGCAGUUAAAUUGUCCUUCUAUUUUCGGGUUUAACCUCCGCUCUGACAUUUAAGCGCCCUAUGCUUCAGCUGUCUUGCAGAUAAGAUCUUUGCUUCUAUAAUAAAACUUUUGUGUUGUGAGGUUGCAAA
Molecule: long non-coding RNA, 358 nt
Organism: Peromyscus eremicus (cactus mouse)
Lineage: Eukaryota; Metazoa; Chordata; Mammalia; Rodentia; Cricetidae
Exons: 2
Source: RefSeq, a predicted model, not a curated record